This 468-nucleotide ribosomal RNA is filed under the name uncultured bacterium. RNAcentral describes it as "partial 16S ribosomal RNA". It matches the Rfam family "Bacterial small subunit ribosomal RNA", at positions 28 to 507 of the family's 1533-position model. The record is from RNAcentral.
GACGAACGCUGGCGGCGUGCUUAACACAUGCAAGUCGAACGGAAAGGCCCUGCUUUUGUGGGGUGCUCGAGUGGCGAACGGGUGAGUAACACGUGAGUAACCUGCCCUUGACUUUGGGAUAACUUCAGGAAACUGGGGCUAAUACCGGAUAGGAGCUCCUGCUGCAUGGUGGGGGUUGGAAAGUUUCGGCGGUUGGGGAUGGACUCGCGGCUUAUCAGCUUGUUGGUGGGGUAGUGGCUUACCAAGGCUUUGACGGGUAGCCGGCCUGAGAGGGUGACCGGCCACAUUGGGACUGAGAUACGGCCCAGACUCCUACGGGAGGCAGCAGUGGGGAAUAUUGCACAAUGGGCGGAAGCCUGAUGCAGCAACGCCGCGUGCGGGAUGACGGACUUCGGGUUGUAAACCGCUUUCGCCUGUGACGAAGCGUGAGUGAAGGUAAUGGGUAAAGAAGCACCGGAGAACUACGUG